GCUCCAGCACUGGUCCUCCGUCAAAUGCCUGGCUAGUGGUCCUUACAGUGGGUGAUAACUCCCUAGACCUGCAGAGUGCUUCCCUUUUUCCAGCAACACUACGUCUCAGACUCAUGGGACCUAAGACUCACCAGGAUCCUAAAAAGCUCCUGACCAAACAAGGCCACUAACAAAAUCCAACUCUAUAAUGAGACUUUCCAUCUUCGGGGUAGUACAAUUGCAC
RNAcentral lists this long non-coding RNA (223 nucleotides) under Dasypus novemcinctus (nine-banded armadillo). RNAcentral describes it as "lncRNA (ENSDNOG00000049889.1)". The record is from RNAcentral. Lineage: Eukaryota; Metazoa; Chordata; Mammalia; Cingulata; Dasypodidae.